Molecule: ribosomal RNA, 404 nt
Filed under: uncultured bacterium
Lineage: Bacteria
Description: bacterial SSU rRNA
Rfam family: Bacterial small subunit ribosomal RNA
Source: RNAcentral
UGGGGAAUAUUGCACAAUGGAGGAAACUCUGAUGCAGCGACGCCGCGUGAGUGAAGAAGGUCUUCGGAUCGUAAAACUCUGUCCUUGGUGAAGAAAGAAAUGACGGUAGCCAAGGAGGAAGCCCCGGCUAACUACGUGCCAGCAGCCGCGGUAAUACGUAGGGGGCGAGCGUUGUCCGGAUUUACUGGGCGUAAAGGGUGAGUAGGCGGUGAUAUGUGUCAGAUGUAAAAGGCUAUGGCUUAACUAUAGUUAGCAUUUGAAACUGUAUUACUUGAGUGCAGGGGAGGUAAGUGGAAUUCCUAGUGUAGCGGUGAAAUGCGUAGAUAUUAGGAGGAACACCAGUGGCGAAGGCGACUUACUGGACUGUAACUGACGCUGAGUCACGAAAGCGUGGGUAGCAAACA